UACGUAGGGACCAAGCGUUGUUCGGAUUUACUGGGCGUAAAGGGCGCGUAGGCGGUGUUGUAAGUCACUUGUGAAAUCUCCGGGCUUAACUCGGAACGGUCAAGUGAUACUGCAGCACUAGAGUGCGGAAGGGGCAAUCGGAAUUCUUGGUGUAGCGGUGAAAUGCGUAGAUAUCAAGAGGAACACCUGAGGUGAAGACGGGUUGCUGGGCCGACACUGACGCUGAUGCGCGAAAGCUAGGGGAGCAAACGGG
RNAcentral lists this ribosomal RNA (253 nucleotides) under uncultured bacterium. RNAcentral's name for it is "partial 16S ribosomal RNA". It matches the Rfam family "Bacterial small subunit ribosomal RNA", at positions 524 to 776 of the family's 1533-position model. The record is from RNAcentral.